Molecule: ribosomal RNA, 915 nt
Filed under: Triticum aestivum (bread wheat)
Lineage: Eukaryota; Viridiplantae; Streptophyta; Magnoliopsida; Poales; Poaceae
Description: partial small subunit ribosomal RNA
Source: RNAcentral
AUGCUCCGGCACCGGUGCUGCGUCCUCACUCAGCUCCUCUCGUUUCCCUCCGCCUCUUCCACCUCCCAGAUCCACCGCCUCAUCUCCGCCGCAGCGCCCGCCCCUAGCUUCGCCGUGCAGGACUACCUCGUCGCCAGCUGCGGCCUCUCCCGAGCGCAGGCACUCAAGGCCUCCGCCAAGCUCUCCCACCUCAAAUCCCCCACCAAGCCCGACGCCGUGCUCUCCUUCCUCGCCGGCCACGGCUUCUCCAGCUCUGACGUCGCCACCGUCGUCGCGGGAGACCCCAAGAGGGUGGUCAAGCCCAAUGUCGCGACCCUGCGGGACUUGGGGCUGGCUGAUUGCGACAUUGCCAAGCUGUGCAUCCCUAAUCCAUGGCUGCUCACAACCAAUGUAGAAUCCAUCCGGGCAAUGGUGUCAUGCGCUGAAAGUCUUGGUGUGCCCCGUGGAUCUCGGAUAUUCAGGCAUGCCGUGUCUGCUGUUGCGUACCUCAGCGAGGAGAAGAUCGCCACCAAAGUGGGGUACUUGAAGAAGACCUUUAGGUGGUCAGAUGCCGAGGUCAGCAUUGCUGUGUCCAAGUUUCCAAUCUUGCUGACAAGGUCUAAGGACUCUCUGCAGAGCAGAUCAGAGUUCCUCGUCUCUGAGGUGGGGCUGGAACCGGCAUACAUUGCUCAUCGUCCGGUAUUGCUCUCUUACAGCCUGGAGGGCCGGCUCAGGCCCCGGUACCAUGUUGUAAAGUUUCUCAAGGAAAAUGAAUUGCUAGAUUGCGACCGGGACUACUAUUCUGCAGUAAUGCGGACCGAGAAGGUAUUCAUGGAGAAGUACAUAUGCCCUCACAUGGAAGCUGCACCGCACCUCGCUGAAGACUAUGCGGAAGCUUGCAGAGGCGAAGUGCCGACUAGAUUCAGAUUUGCAUGA